GUUUUGGUACGUUUCUUUUUAUAUCAAAUUCCUGUUGUCUGAGUCAGCUUCGACGUGCCUCACGCAGCCACAAGCAUGAAAGUAGGUUUUAAUCAUCAGAACAUCUCGUUGUAAACAACAUCUCUAAAAAUGAACACAGGAGAGUGUGCCGAGCCGCUACGAAUCUUGGGUACAUUAAAGAGGUAUGACAGCUGGGAAGUGGACAUGACAUGAGGUCCAGUCUGAAGCUGCCACAGAUCUUCUGAGGGACAACGGGCUCGAGAUGUCAUUGCUACAGUGCAAAAUCAGCUUGGAGUCAAUGCCAAGGGAGGUAGAUGAAUGUAAAUACAAACUGAAGGAUUGUGUUAAUCAGCCUGGAUAAGGAAGUUUCCCAUUAGCUUUCUCUGAUGAACUCUAUUUUAGUUCAGUUCUGUCACAUCUACUGAGUGUUUUUUCUUUUUGUUAAAAAUAAAAAAAAAGAAACCGCCGAUAGUAUAGGGCCCUAUGUUUUCUAUGAAGACAAAUUGCAGAAUCCAGUCAUUAUAGUGGAAUUUAUAACGUGACUUUUCACAGAAUUUAACAAAUUUUGGAUGAAUAAAUCAAAUGUAGGGCUGCACACCUAAUCAAAACACUACAUGGAGUGUCUGUGAAUAUUAAAGUGCAAA
Long non-coding RNA from Pimephales promelas (fathead minnow), 644 nucleotides. RefSeq lists it as uncharacterized. The record is from RefSeq and is a predicted model, not a curated record. Lineage: Eukaryota; Metazoa; Chordata; Actinopteri; Cypriniformes; Leuciscidae.